This 1143-nucleotide long non-coding RNA is filed under the name Camarhynchus parvulus. RNAcentral describes it as "lncRNA (ENSCPVG00000017192.1)". Lineage: Eukaryota; Metazoa; Chordata; Aves; Passeriformes; Thraupidae. The record is from RNAcentral.
AACCGCUGUGUCGCAGGCUCUGCUCGAGCUCCUGCCUUGCAGCGCGGCAGCUCGGUGCCCCGGGACACCCGGCAGGGCUGUCGGCGCCUGGGAGUCACCGUGCGGCCGCGCCCCGGCCUGCUCCCGUCCCGCUCCCGUCCGGCCCCGUCCCGCUCCCGUCCGGCCCCCGUCCCGCUCCCGUCCGGCUCCCGUCCGGCUCCCGUCCCGCUCCCGUCCCGCUCCCGUCCCGCUCCCGUCCGGCUCCCGUCCCGCUCCCGUCCCGCUCCCGUCCGGCCCCCGUCCCGCUCCCGUCCGGCUCCCGUCCCGCUCCCGUCCCGCUCCCGUCCGGCCCCCCCCCGCUCCCGUCCGGCUCCCGUCCCGCUCCCGUCCCGCUCCCGUCCCGCUCCCGUCCCGCUCCCGUCCGGCUCCCGUCCCGCUCCCGUCCCGCUCCCGUCCCGCUCCCGUCCCGCUCCCGUCCGGCUCCCGUCCGGCCCCCGUCCCGCUCCCGUCCCGCUCCCGUCCCGCUCCCGUCCCGCUCCCCGUCCGGCCCCCGUCCCGCUCCCGUCCGGCCCCAGUCCCUCUCCCGUCCCUCUCCCGUCCCGCUCCCGUCCCUCUCCCGUCCCUCUCCCGUCCCGCUCCCGUCCCGCUCCCGUCCCGCUCCGUCCGCCGCCUGUCCCGGGGGCGCGGGGCCGGGGCAGGGCCGUGCAGCGGGGCUCGGGGAGAGGUUCCGUGCGGGGUUCAAUGCGGGGCUCGGGGAGAGGUUCAGUGCGGGGUUUGGUGCGGGGUUCAAUGCGGGGCCGGGGCUCGGUGCGGGGUUCGGUUCGGGGCUCGGAGCAGGACUGGCCGGCUCGGUUGCUCCCGGCGGCUGCACGCCCUGCUGGUGAAACCUGUUGUUUUGGAAGCUGCACAGUGGAGCAACCUCUGCCCCGGCUGAUACGACAAGAAAUCACCUCCUGGCCGGGACCCAAGCAAAACACGGGAUUAACUUUGCCCUGUGCUGGCUCGCUGGGAGGCGGGGAGAGGGUGAGAGCGGCUCCGGCAGCGGCAGAGAGGAUCCUGCGAGGAUGGGGGCCCGGCUGCUGUGCCUGUGCCUCCUCACCGCCCUCCUGGGCUACUACAUCUACAGCCCGCUGCCCCCGGAGCUGGCCCAGCCCGGCACCGUGA